UAUCGCAUGGUAUGUUAUUGAAAACCGUGGUGGUCACGGAUUGGCUCGCGUCUGAUUAGCUAGUCGGCGGGGUAACGGCCCACCGAGGCGACGAUCAGUAGGGGUUCUGAGAGGAAGGUCCCCCACAAUGGAACUGAGACACGGUCCAUACUCCUACGGGAGGCAGCAGUGAGGAAUAUUGGUCAAUGGGCGGAAGCCUGAACCAGCCAUGCCGCGUGCGGGAAGACGGCCCUACGGGUUGUAAACCGCUUUUGUGUGGGAGCAAUAAGGGUGUCGCGCACACCUGAUGAGAGUACCAUACGAAUAAGCAUCGGCUAACUCCGUGCCAGCAGCCGCGGUAAUACGGAGGAUGCGAGCGUUAUCCGGAUUCAUUGGGUUUAAAGGGUGCGUAGGCUGUGCGAUAAGUCAGGGGUGAAAUACCGUCGCUCAACGUCGGGGCUGCCCUUGAUACUGUCGCGCUGGAGUGCGGAUGCCGCCGGAGGAAUGAGUGGUGUAGCGGUGAAAUGCAUAGAUAUCACUCAGAACACCGAUUGCGAAGGCAUCUGGCGAAUCCGCCACUGACGCUGAGGCACGAAAGCGU
Molecule: ribosomal RNA, 580 nt
Filed under: uncultured rumen bacterium
Lineage: Bacteria
Description: bacterial SSU rRNA
Rfam family: Bacterial small subunit ribosomal RNA
Source: RNAcentral